UACGAAGGGGGCUAGCGUUGUUCGGAUUUACUGGGCGUAAAGGGCGCGUAGGCGGCCAGCGCAAGUCAGUUGUGAAAUCUCCGGGCUUAACUCGGAACGGUCAACUGAUACUGCGCGGCUAGAGUGCAGAAGGGGCAACUGGAAUUCUUGGUGUAGCGGUGAAAUGCGUAGAUAUCAAGAGGAACACCUGCGGCGAAGGCGGGUUGCUGGGCCGACACUGACGCUGAGGCGCGAAAGCCAGGGGAGCGAACGGG
RNAcentral lists this ribosomal RNA (254 nucleotides) under uncultured bacterium. Its description in RNAcentral is "partial 16S ribosomal RNA". It matches the Rfam family "Bacterial small subunit ribosomal RNA", at positions 524 to 776 of the family's 1533-position model. The record is from RNAcentral.